Molecule: long non-coding RNA, 538 nt
Organism: Alosa sapidissima (American shad)
Lineage: Eukaryota; Metazoa; Chordata; Actinopteri; Clupeiformes; Clupeidae
Exons: 4
Source: RefSeq, a predicted model, not a curated record
AACCCAGUCUCACGUCUGAACGUGUCACUGUCACGUUAAUUAAUCUAUUGGGACGUGUUGUGUAACACGUUUCCUUGUUAAAAAACGUGUUGAGCAGGACGUAAUUAUCGUGUUACUAUCACGUUGUAUUUCGCAUUCAAUGAGCCAACAGAACCACGUCAUCUGUCAAAAAAGCCCGACCCAAAAUGGCGAGAAUGUUAUUUGAUGCUUUUGACGUGCAGUUUCAUACUCUUAAGCCUGCUUUGAGUUGUGGGUUAGAAGGAGCCACCUUCUAGCUAGCAGUUUUAAAAGGCUGAACCCCAGAAUCCAGAAACAAGAACCGAGCAGGGACGGAGAAAAAAGAAGAAUCCAAAUGGGAAAUGAGAUAAGGCCUCUUCAUUUUCAACUGUGAAGGAUCUACAUGGACUUGGUCUGGAUAGCCUUUCCUGUUUUGAUGAGCCAGUCGGGUCUAGAGGGAAAACCCUAUAUGAGCCCCAGGAUCCUUGCUCCUGAUAUCCUGAUGUAUGGGUUGCACUUCAUUAUAUGACUCCAACAGAAC